GUGCCAGCCGCCGCGGUAAUACAGAGGGUGCGAGCGUUGUCCGGAAUCACUGGGCGUAAAGGGCGCGUAGGUGGCUUGCCAAGCGUGUGGUGAAAGCCCGGAGCUCAACUCCGGGUCUGCCAUGCGAACUGGCAGGCUUGAGCACGGUAGAGGCCAAUGGAAUUCCGGGUGUAGCGGUGGAAUGCGUAGAGAUCCGGAAGAACACCGGUGGCGAAGGCGGUUGGCUGGGCCGUAGCUGACACUGAGGCGCGACAGCGUGGGGAGCAAACAGGAUUAGAAACCCGAGUAGUCC
This 292-nucleotide ribosomal RNA is filed under the name uncultured bacterium. RNAcentral's name for it is "partial 16S ribosomal RNA". It matches the Rfam family "Bacterial small subunit ribosomal RNA", at positions 505 to 796 of the family's 1533-position model. The record is from RNAcentral.